Long non-coding RNA from Panicum hallii, 2727 nucleotides. RefSeq lists it as uncharacterized. The record is from RefSeq and is a predicted model, not a curated record. Lineage: Eukaryota; Viridiplantae; Streptophyta; Magnoliopsida; Poales; Poaceae. The transcript is spliced from 3 exons.
AAAUAAUUUUUAGUGCAUUCAAUCGAGCAUGUAAUGAAAUCCUUAAAUUAAACAACAACUUGCCCAAUGAUAAAUUAGUAAUUAUUGCAUUUAGAAAUGAAGCAUAAAGUUAUGCAUGCGUGAUUUGGAUUUCAUCAAAUUUAUUUGGAUUUUCUUAAAUAUGCUCUUGUCCACGGGCUGCUCGGCUGCGGCUAUUUGGGCCUGCCUGCAGCCGAGCAGCUGGGCUCCGCAGCCACAACGAGCAGGCCACUAGGACCGCAACCCAACUAACGUAACUAACCAGGCCUGCCCAACGCCGGCCUAAGCCAGCCCGCUACCCCAGCCUCAGCCUACGCGAAACAUCUGGCACCAAAGCCAACCCAACUACCCAAGAUGGACCUGGCUGGACGUGAGGGCCCGCCCAGCCCGCUUCUCUCUGUUUCUUUCUUCUCCUCCACGCAGAUCGGGCCGCCGCUCCCCUCUCCCCUAGCUAGCUUUUCCUCUCAAGGGCAAGACAUAUACGCGGAGGCGACGGCGAGCCGGGGCGGGAUUGCACCGCUGCUGCCUCGAGGGCGACCGCCCCUACGUCGUCUACCUCGACCACGUCGAGCCGAACUGCGAGGAGAGGAUGGGAGCACGCCGCCGCUUAUUCACCAAGCCCGAGCCCGCGACGACUUCACCAUCGCCCCGACGUGAGUCACCACGCCAUCUCCCUUUUCCUCUUGGAAGGAGAAUCUGUCCGGCCUUCGCGCCGCUGCCGAUUAUUAGCAGCGUCACAGCCGCACGGCCGCGCUGAGCUGAUGCCCGCCGCUGGACGAACGUGGUGGCCGCGCUCGCCUCGCCGCGCGCCAGCACACUAACACGGUCAAACGCCGCCGCGCACACGUACGGCUGCCUACUCACUACGCAGGGGUCCCGGGCCGUGCGGCAGUGACGGCCCGCUCGCGCAUGCUUCACGGCGCCUCGCCGGGAACCUCUCCUUCGCCGGGCGCGGAGGGAGCGCGCUCGCUACGGCCAGCGCAUGCGCAUGCCGCCCGCACGCGCUCGACGCGGACGGCAUCGCCGCAGGGCACACGCGUGACAGGCCCGCAGCCACACCCCGCGCACCCUCGGCAACACCGGCACGCACCCAGGCAAACACGGCAUCACCCACGCUCAUUCAUUCGAGGUGCUCUCGUGCGCCAGCCCAUUCGCGGCGAAUGCCCCUUUUAAGCAUUUCAUCAAGCACCACCGGCGCGCGCGCACGGCCACACUCAACCGUAUGCACGGAGGUAGACUAAAUUGUCAGUCCAUCACCAGGCGGUCAGGCCACAAUAUGCAAAAUGCUUGCUUUGAACAAAAUUCUUCUACAUCGUUUGACAGAAGCAAAGUCAAGCAGAAAUCUUCCAUAUGAUUGCCAUCUAUUUGUCUAGCUAACAUGUAGAUAUCUAUGAAUUAAUUUUUGGUAAAAAUUAGUUUGAGAGACAAUUUUAUACGUUCUUUCUGAUUAAUAUGUAUUUUGUUCUGAUUGCCAGUCCAUAUGUCAUGCUGUUUGUGGGUGGUCCUGCUCACAGUCCUCCUAUCUUCAUCUGGUGCUAGUUCAGCUAAGCAUACUACAAGAUCGGAAGAGGGCAACUGUCGUUAUGACCUGACGAGCAUUGCUACUCUAUCAUGCGUGCUGCCAGAUGGUGUAUGGAGGCCACCCUCACAUACAUGCUGCAACGCAUUACUGUAUGCUAUUGAUCAAGUUCCGUCUAGCGAUGUGAGGGGAGCAUGUUGUCUUUGCCGCUAUCUCAAAGAAAAAGAGGGAGCUCCUACUAAACUGGCUACAGCAUAUGUUAUGUGCAAUGGAGAGGACAAGCACAUCGUCACCGAGUGGUCGUUUCCAAUCACAACAUGUUUGAUCGACUGUGGGCAUGGAAUCAUUUCCUCCCUCGGCAUAGAGCAUGAGGAUACUCCAGUGGUACAAGCACUCGGCACUGGCAACGAGGGACAAGAGCACGUCAGUGGCAUUGGACAAGCACACGUCACUACCAAGGUCAUCACGGAGGUCGUUCAAGGCAACAGAAAAUGCAAGCGAACCCCGAUCUGGGCGCCGGCGAUCUGUUGACGUUGGCCCUUCAUCAGCAAAGCGAAAGGAGAAGAGGCUUUCAUCACCAUGAAGGGGCUUAAUCAUUUGCAUGAGAUUCACACGAUUGAUUUGGCAUCUAGUUAUAUUACUACUUGCAGCUCAUCUUGUUCGCAUAGUUACUAAGGAUCGGAAGCUUAGAGAAUUCUGAUCGUUACCGGCAUUGAAGCAUAGAACCUAUGUGAAACCUUUAUGAAGCCUCUCUAAAACUUUGGUUAUGAUAAAACUACUUCCACGCAUGUUUGGAACACUAGAAUUUUGCCACUUGCAUGAAUUGUUUGGUGUGGUCAGGUGCGUAUGCGUAAGAAUGGCAAAUUCUUAACCAAGUAAGCUUGCCGUAUAUAUUUAUAAUUGUUGUUGGUCAAAUAUUUAUUUUAACUGACUACUUAUACUCAUAUUUGAAAAACCAUAUGGACAGACUUCAUAUACUUUGCUACUAUAUUAAUCACGAAUAAUAUUUUCAUAAUAUACAUAACACUUUCAUCUUAAAGUAUUAUACUUGUAUAAAAAAUGAAAGUCAAAAGUGUCUUGGAGGCGAGAGCCGCUUCAGUAGAAGCAUGCCAAUGGUUGACCAUCGUCAAGCCUACUGCCUACUAUAGUUUAUGACCUUGACAAUUAUUCCGCAUAUAUAUAUAUAUAUA